This 468-nucleotide ribosomal RNA is filed under the name uncultured bacterium. RNAcentral describes it as "partial 16S ribosomal RNA". It matches the Rfam family "Bacterial small subunit ribosomal RNA", at positions 28 to 507 of the family's 1533-position model. The record is from RNAcentral.
GACGAACGCUGGCGGCGUGCUUAACACAUGCAAGUCGAACGGAAAGGCCGUGCUUUGGUGGGGUGCUGGAGGGGCGAAGGGGUGAGUAACACGUGAGUAACGUGUCCCUGACUGUGGGGGAACUUCAGGAAGCUGGGGCUAAUACGGGAUAGGAUCUCCUGCUGCAUGGUGGGGGUGGGAUGGUUUCGGCGGUUGGGGAUGGAAUCGCCGCUCAUCGGCUUGUUGGUGGGGUAGUGGGUGAGCAAGGCUUGGAACCGUAGCAGAGCUGCGAGGGUGACAGGCCACAUUGGGCCUGAGAUACGGCCCGGACUCGUACGGGAGGCAGCGGUGCGGAAUAGUGUACAAGGGGAGGGAGCCUGGUGUAGUAACGCCGCGUGCGGGAUGACGUCCUUGGGGUUGUAAUCCACUUUCGCCUGUGACGAGGCGUGAGUGACGGUAAUGGGUAAAGAAGCACCGGCUAACUACGUG